GUUGGCCAGUGAUGAUAAAAGUUAUCCCUGUCUUAAUGUAAAUGUGUGGAGAUACGGUAACCUGAGGCCAAU
RNAcentral lists this small nucleolar RNA (72 nucleotides) under Neogobius melanostomus (round goby). RNAcentral's name for it is "Small nucleolar RNA R38 (ENSNMLG00000023856.1)". It matches the Rfam family "Small nucleolar RNA R38". Rfam says of the family: snoR38 is a C/D box small nucleolar RNA conserved across yeast, human, Arabidopsis and rice. The record is from Rfam by way of RNAcentral. Lineage: Eukaryota; Metazoa; Chordata; Actinopteri; Gobiiformes; Gobiidae.